This is a microRNA precursor of Chlorocebus sabaeus (green monkey), 97 nucleotides long. NCBI's taxonomy places the organism in Eukaryota, Metazoa, Chordata, Mammalia, Primates, Cercopithecidae. The record is from Ensembl.
AUCUCCUGGGGAUUUUGAAAGUGCAGAUUCUGCUUCAGUAGGUCUGGGGUAAGGCCUAAGAUUCUGCAUUUCUAACAAGCUCCCAUGUGAUGCCAAU